Molecule: long non-coding RNA, 958 nt
Organism: Cyprinus carpio (common carp)
Lineage: Eukaryota; Metazoa; Chordata; Actinopteri; Cypriniformes; Cyprinidae
Source: Ensembl
ACUCACAAGUGAUAAAGUUGCUAAAGAAAAGACUUUUAGGUGUUUAUACAACAUUUGUAUCAAUCACUGAUUUUUUUCUGUAGCCCCAUGUGUGCCAUACCACAUUGAGACCUAUGCAGAGUGUGAAAAUAACCUUGGAGCUGUCAGCUGGGCUGGCAGUGAUGGCGCAGAUUUUUUCACCGCCAUUGCUGUAGGACAGGAUGGCCACACGCACGUCUGCCUAACAAAUACAACUUUCUGUGUCUGGGAGGAACUGCACUGUGGAGAAAUUUACUUUGUCCAAGUCACUGCCAAUGCCCAAAUCUGCAACAGUGGGUCCAGUGAUGGCACAGUCAUACACAUGGCUCCAUGUGUCCCUCAAGAACUGGUGUCCUCUUUCGACUGUGACAUGAGAGUGGCUUCCCUCACCUGGGAAGCAAGUGAAAAUGCUGAGAUGUACCUGGUGUCUGCAGAAUCUGAUAGCGGUCACCGGGUGGAACUCUCAACAAAUGCCACAAGUGCACAAUUCUCUGAGUUCAACUGUGGUCAGCCGUACUAUCUGACUGUGCAAGCUGUGGGAAAUGUAUGUAGAAGCCACCCCAGUAAUGCUUCAGUAUUGCAGACAGAGCCCUGUACUCCAGCAGCUGUCGUUGGCUUUAUGGACUGCAUCUCCAACAUUGCUACUGUAUCCUGGGUGUUAGCUGAAGGUGCAGAAUACUACACAGCGACAGUUCAUGGCCCAGAUGGGCCUUCGGAAACAUGCAUGUCCUCGUCAUCGAGCUGUGGCAUGCCCAAACUGUCCUGCGGUGAAACAUACAAUGUUAGCGUGAUUGCCUCCAGUCGCAAGUGUAACUCAACACCCAGUGCGCUGAGCUCUCUUAACUCAGGUAAUGCAAGCAAACAAACGACAGCAUAAAUAUAAGACACAAAUACACAAGUCUCAGCACAGGUACAGGUAUAACACUAAAGCACUUAAGCC